RNAcentral lists this ribosomal RNA (1536 nucleotides) under Triticum aestivum (bread wheat). RNAcentral describes it as "partial small subunit ribosomal RNA". Lineage: Eukaryota; Viridiplantae; Streptophyta; Magnoliopsida; Poales; Poaceae. The record is from RNAcentral.
AUGGAGUUAAGCACGGUGCCGCCGCUCCCCAGUGCCAAGGGCACGGCCGUGGCCGUGAACCUAGUGCUGGCGACGAGCGAGGCCAAGAGACAGCUCCGCCUCGCCGGGCCGCUGAUCGUGGGAUGCCUGCUGCAGAGCGUCAUCCAGAUGAUCUCCGUCAUGUUCGUCGGGCACCUGGGCGAGCUCGCGCUGGCCAGCGCCUCCAUGGCCAGCUCAUUCGCCAUCGUCACCGGCUUCAGCUUCCUGGUACCCUACUACUCGAGCCAGCACAUUCACAUACGAUACGGCGCACAUGCAUGCAUGUUCUUCUCCCACUUUGCAUUUAGCUUGUCGAUCGAACCAUGGCAGACGGGCAUGUCGUUCGCCCUGGACACCCUGUGCGGGCAGGCCUUCGGGGCGAGCGAGCACCACAUGCUGGGAGUGUACAAGCAGAGGGCGAUGCUGGUGCUGGGCCUGGCGAGCGUCCCGAUCGCGGCGGUGUGGGCCAACACCGGCGCGAUCCUGCUGCACCUGGGGCAGGACCCGGAGAUCGCGGCGGGCGCCGGGACGUACAUCCGGUGGAUGAUCCCGGCGCUCUUCUUCUACGGGUGGCUGCAGUGCCACGUGCGGUUCCUGCAGGCGCAGAAGCUGGUGGUGCCGGUGAUGCUCAGCUCCGGCGCCACCGCGGUGAGCCACGUGCUGGUGUGCUGGGCGCUGGUGUACAGGCUGCGGCUGGGGAUCAGAGGCGCCGCGCUGGCCAACGCCGUGUCCUACCUCACCAACGUCUCCAUACUGGCCGUCUACGUCAGGGUCUCGCCGUCGUGCAACAAGAGCUGGACGGGGUUCUCUUUCGAGGCAUUCCACGGCCUCAUCCCCUUCUUGAAGCUCGCCGUGCCAUCCGCGCUCAUGGUCUGCAUGGAGUGGUGGUCGUUCGAGGUGAUGGUGAUACUGUCCGGCCUUCUCCCCAACCCCAAGCUCGAGACGGCCGUCCUCUCCAUCUGCUUGAACACCAACUCCUUGGUGUGCACGGUCCCGAAUGGGCUCUCUUCGGCCAUAAGCACGCGCGUGUCCAACGAGCUCGGAGCGGGGCGGCCCCGGGCGGCGCUUCUGGCGGCCCGCGUGGUGAUAGUGCUGGCGUUUCUGGUGGGCACGUCGGAGGGGCUCCUCCUGGUACUUGUGCACAAAGUGUGGGGCUAUGCCUACAGCAAGGACCAGGAGGUGGUCUCCUACGUCGGCACCAUGAUGCUCAUCCUCGCCGUCUCCGUCCUCUUCGACGGCCUCCAGUACGUCCUCUCAGGUAUAGUUCGGGGCUGUGGACAACAGAAGAUUGGCGCUUUUGUUAAUUUCAUUGCGUAUUAUCUAGUUGGUAUCCCUGCAGCACUGGUUUUCACCUUCAAGUGCCAUCUUGGUGGAAAGGGGCUUUGGUUGGGAAUAUUGAGCGGAUUGGUGACACAGACGUUGUUGCUUCUUUUCAUUUCCUUUGGCAACACUGAUUGGGAUAAACAAGCAAUUAAUGCAAAGGAUAGAAUUUUGACGUCGCCGCCUGUGGAGCCAUGA